UACGCCAAUAUCACGAUGAAACAUCGAUUCCCGUACAAUCACCGAAGUUAAGCAACGUCGAUCCUGGCCAGUACCUACAUGGAUGACCGCUUCGGAAUACCAGGCGCUGUAG
Acanthosepion pharaonis is the source of this 112-nucleotide non-coding RNA. NCBI's taxonomy places the organism in Eukaryota, Metazoa, Mollusca, Cephalopoda, Sepiida, Sepiidae. The record is from the annotation of a GenBank genome assembly.